CAAGGCUAUUUAGCGAUUCAUGGCUCCGCCUCGGUGAAAUGAGGAACAAGUGUUUGUUUACAAGCGGUGCCAUUGGCGAAAGCCGGUGACGCGUCCGACCGAGGUGGCGAGCUCGCCGCCAUUCCGCGACCACCUUUUGAUGUCGCCACCGCUGUUGCUGCCAGCGCGAAAAGAUCUUUCUAUUUACUUUAGCCCUUUGAAACUUCCCGUGGAAACGGCUCGAGAGCUUCCUGAUGGCGGAUUGUGUUUAUCUUACCCGAACACCCGAGGCCUCCCGAAAUAAAGACGAGCUGCCAGUCUAAGGAAAUGCGCCGCGCGGGACAGGGUGCCGAGGAAGACGUGUGGGGGGGGGGGGGGGGGUAGUGGAAUGAUAAGAGCCCACGGCUUCCUGUUUCGCUCAAGUUUACAGUGGAAUUACAUCGACCUCAUACCCCACACACUGUGAUCCUCACCCUUCAUAAAACACAUAUUUUAUAUUGAAUAUGGAGUUCAACUCAAUGCCUCUGGGAUAAAAUCGCGCCUCUUGAUGACGUCCAAUUCUCCAUAAAUCUGCCUAGCAACAGGUGUUUAUGGUGCUUACCCGUGACGAAGAAAUUGAUGUCCAGGUGGUCCAGUCCCACGGAGUUGGAUGCCACGCAACGGAACACACCUGACACCACAGCCCGGGCCACUGUGACCACACCGACCGUCUAACAGACAACAACAACACACGCACACAAUUCAUUAAACGACGACAUUAACAUGUGUGAUCAUUCCGGCGUGUCAUUUUUCCACCUUGGUCUUCCCCUGAAGCACUUCCUGGUUGCGGGUCAUACUUUGGAUGUGGUUGUGUGUGGGCGUGGCGGGGAGCCCCUCGUUCAAGGGGGUCCAGCCAGAAGAGGAUGUCGGAGGAGCGCACCUUCAAUGAGGAAGAAGAACAGGAGGAGGACGCUCAGCUGUGAUGACGUCAUUCAGCAGCUGUACAUACGGAGCGAUAAAAACACGCAGGAAAACCAGCCCACGUGGACCGAUCGGACUUUCCUGAUCUACCGUACUUCUCUAUUGAUCAAUCGAUCCAUCCAUCUAUCCGUCUCUGUCCAUCCACCCAUCUGCUAUCGCUAUCUAUCCAUCCAUCAACUGCAUCUCUCUAUCUCGCGCUCUCUGUGUAUCAAUCUCAUCUUCCCGUCCCUUAGGUGUGUUCCAGUCUUUUCUUCUGAUUGCGCUUCCUCUCGAAGUGUACAUUGUGUGCGUCCCUCCCUGUGCGUGACACACACACACGCACGCACACACACGCAUCUCCCAGUACUGUACUCUCAGAAUAAAAGUGAGAUGUGGCAAGAAAGGUUUGUUAGUCACACAGAGAGACGAGUGGACGAACAACAAUCACACCACAGCCACCCAGUGUGCGCGCGCGUGUGUUUAUGUGUGUGUGUGUGUGCGUGUGUGUGUGCGCUCUGACUGACUACACUUAACAGUUCCCUGUCUGCAGCCCGAAAUAACGCCAGACAUUUGAAACAACAACAACACGGAAAUACAAGCCAAGUUUAAUGCAAAAAAAACCACAUCAACAACUGAUACAAACAAUUGCAAAAAAAAACAAGAUGCAUUAACAGAGUCAUACAAAUCUUGUCAUUUUUAGGGGAGUCAUACGGAAGUUAGUCGUAUAAAAUUAUUAAAUAUUAGCUUCAUAUAUUACUCGUAGAACAUCUUGAUACAAAGGUGGGAGUGGGGGGGAUCACACCCGCGGAAUGGGACAGACACGCACGUAUACAAAACGCUCACCACGUACACACGCGCUUACACGUCAAGUGGAUGACAGACAAUUAGGGCCACGUGGAUGGGAACAAAAGUACUAAAAAAAAAAAAGAAAGAUAGUGGCGCUAUUACAAAUGCAAAUGUUUAAAAAAUAUAUUCUUCAUAUGAUAUUUUAGUUAUAUUACAUUCCAUUCCAUACAUACGCAUGCCCGUACAUAUAUGUACGGAUAUACAUCCAUAUAUACCUCCGUGUGUACAUAUAUACAUAUUGUGUACAUACAAUAUAUAGAUACAUAUCUUUGUAUGUGUAGAUAUAUAUAGGUACAUAGAUAUGUACAUAUAUACAUGCACACUGUACAUACAUAUAUAUGGACAUUAUACAGCAUAUUUUAUUUUCUCUUAUUUCAUGGUCAUAAGGGGGGGGGGGGGGAAUAAAAAAAUCUGUGUGGCCCUGAUUGUCCGACAUGCAAAUGGCUCAUUGCCGUUUCCAACACACAGACGACUGGGGCAGUUAGAAAAGCUACAUCAUUGACACUCGGCAGACUUCCUACAUGGUAGGUGUCAGUUUUUUUUUUGUUUUUUUUCAUCAGAGAACUAUAAAACCUUGUGUCCACGUUUUUCUUCGCUUGGUUGGAUUUCUUGCUGGAGGAUUAAAAAAAAAAACAGUAAAAA
Long non-coding RNA from Hippocampus zosterae (dwarf seahorse), 2406 nucleotides. RefSeq lists it as uncharacterized. Lineage: Eukaryota; Metazoa; Chordata; Actinopteri; Syngnathiformes; Syngnathidae. The record is from RefSeq and is a predicted model, not a curated record. The transcript has 3 exons.